GACGAACGCUGGCGGCGUGCUUAACACAUGCAAGUCGAGCGGUAAGGCCCUUUCGGGGGUACACGAGCGGCGAACGGGUGAGUAACACGUGGGUGACCUGCCCUCAGCUCUGGGAUAAGCCUGGGAAACCGGGUCUAAUACUGGAUAUGACUCCAUGACGCAUGUUGUGGGGUGGAAAGCCUUGUGCGGCUGAGGAUGGGCCCGCGGCCUAUCAGCUUGUUGGUGGGGUGANGGCCUACCAAGGCGACGACGGGUAGCCGGCCUGAGAGGGCGACCGGCCACACUGGGACUGAGACACGGCCCAGACUCCUACGGGAGGCAGCAGUGGGGAAUCUUGCGCAAUGGGCGAAAGCCUGACGCAGCGACGACCGCGUGAGGGAUGACGGCCU
This 389-nucleotide ribosomal RNA is filed under the name uncultured bacterium. RNAcentral describes it as "bacterial SSU rRNA". It matches the Rfam family "Bacterial small subunit ribosomal RNA", at positions 28 to 417 of the family's 1533-position model. The record is from RNAcentral.